This 533-nucleotide long non-coding RNA is filed under the name Musa acuminata (dwarf banana). Its description in RNAcentral is "long non-coding RNA (MACU_LNC006456)". Lineage: Eukaryota; Viridiplantae; Streptophyta; Magnoliopsida; Zingiberales; Musaceae. The record is from RNAcentral.
GGAUGUUUCUGAAGUCUCGGAAGCUCGAUUCUGGGAACUGGUACCAGGUCAUUGCAUUGGAUCUCUCUCAGUUCAGGUAUAUGUUAUAAAAUGCUACUGAAGAGGACUAUCACCCCUGAUGACAGAAUACUUAUCUCAACAUUCUCUAGAUUGCCAGUCAUAAAUUCUUUUUUCAUUUGUUUAAAUUCCAGCGAUGGUGAAAAUAUGGUCAAAUUAUCAUGCAUGGGCAAAGAUGCUUCCCUUGCCAAGUUGUUUUACCAUGUCAUGCUAGUGAAGGCCUUGAUAAAAUGCAUUUAGUUGUGCUCAUGUUUGGGUGCCUUAUUUUGGCACAGCUUUUCAUUGGACCACACAUGCUGUAAAUUUAGUUAUAAGAUAGACAUGUAAGAAGCCUCGAGGAGAUGGCCAUGCAAGGUGAUGUAGUUAAUGGAGUUAGUGGGUACCAGGCGAUGCAGUUAAUGGAGUUGGGACCCUGCAUGCAUAGCUUUUAUCCAGAUUGAAAGGGCUUUUGGCCUAUAUAAUGCCAUAUGACUGUC